GAUGAACGCUGGCGGCGUGCCUAAUACAUGCAAGUCGAGCGAACAGACGAGGAGCUUGCUCCUCUGACGUUAGCGGCGCACGUGUGAGUAACACGUGGAUAACCCACCUAUAAGACUGGGAUAACUUCGAGAAACCGGAUCUAAUACCAUAUAAUAUAGUGAACCGCAUGGGUCAAUAGUGAAAGACGGUUUUGCUGUCACUUAUAGAUGGAUCCGCGCCGCAUUAGCUAGUUGGUAAGGUAACGGCUUACCAAGGCAACGAUGCGUAGCCGACCUGAGAGGGUGGUCCGCCAGCCGGGAAGAGAGGCUGGGUCGCGACACCUGCGGUAGGCCACAGCAGGGAAUCUUACGCGAUGGAGGAGAGGUUGACAGAGCAACGUCGGGUGAGUGAUGAUGGUGUUCGGAUCGGAAAAGUAUGUUGUUAGGGAAAAACAAAUGUGUAAGUAUCUAUGAACGUAUUGACGGUACUUAAUAAGAAAGCGACGGCUAACUACGUG
This 497-nucleotide ribosomal RNA is filed under the name uncultured bacterium. Its description in RNAcentral is "partial 16S ribosomal RNA". It matches the Rfam family "Bacterial small subunit ribosomal RNA", at positions 28 to 507 of the family's 1533-position model. The record is from RNAcentral.